RNAcentral lists this ribosomal RNA (425 nucleotides) under uncultured bacterium. RNAcentral describes it as "bacterial SSU rRNA". It matches the Rfam family "Bacterial small subunit ribosomal RNA", at positions 354 to 796 of the family's 1533-position model. The record is from RNAcentral.
GUAGGGAAUAUUGGUAAUCUGCGAAAGCGGGAACCAGCAACGCCGCGUGUGCGAUGAAGGCCUUCGGGUUGUAAAGCACUUUUUGAGGGGAUGAGGAAGGACAGUACCCUCAGAAUAAGCCUCGGCUAACUACGUGCCAGCAGCCGCGGUAACACGUAGGAGGCAAGCGUUAUUCGGAUUUACUGGGCGUAAAGCGCGUGCAGGCGGUUCGGUAAGUUGGAUGUGAAAGCUCCUGGCUUAACUGGGAGAGGUCGUUCAAUACUAUCGGACUAGAGGAUGAGAGAGGGAGGUGGAAUUCCGGGUGUAGUGGUGGAAUGCGUAGAUAUUCGGAGGAACACCAGUGGCGAAAGCGGCCUCCUGGCUCAUAACUGACGCUCAGACGCGAAAGCUAGGGUAGCAAACGGGAUUAGAAACCCUAGUAGUCC